Molecule: ribosomal RNA, 266 nt
Filed under: uncultured Eubacteriales bacterium
Lineage: Bacteria; Bacillati; Bacillota; Clostridia; Eubacteriales
Description: uncultured Clostridiales bacterium partial 16S ribosomal RNA
Rfam family: Bacterial small subunit ribosomal RNA
Source: RNAcentral
AAGGUCCGAGCGUUGUCCGGAAUCAUUGGGCGUAAAGGGUACGUAGGCGGGUAAGCAAGUUAGAAGUGAAAUCCUAUAGCUCAACUAUAGUAAGCUUUUAAAACUGUUUAUCUUGAGGUAUGGAAGGGAAAGUGGAAUUCCUAGUGUAGCGGUGAAAUGCGCAGAUAUUAGGAGGAAUACCGGUGGCGAAGGCGACUUUCUGGCCAUAACCUGACGCUGAGGUACGAAAGCGUGGGUAGCAAACAGGAUUAGAUACCCUGGUAGUC